RNAcentral lists this ribosomal RNA (635 nucleotides) under Penicillium crustosum. RNAcentral's name for it is "partial large subunit ribosomal RNA". It matches the Rfam family "Eukaryotic large subunit ribosomal RNA", at positions 22 to 672 of the family's 3401-position model. Lineage: Eukaryota; Fungi; Ascomycota; Eurotiomycetes; Eurotiales; Aspergillaceae. The record is from RNAcentral.
UACCCGCUGAAUUUAAGCAUAUCAAUAAGCGGAGGAAAAGAAACCAACAGGGAUUGCCCCAGUAACGGCGAGUGAAGCGGCAAGAGCUCAAAUUUGAAAGCUGGCUCCUUCGGGGUCCGCAUUGUAAUUUGCAGAGGAUGCUUCGGGAGCGGUCCCCAUCUAAGUGCCCUGGAACGGGACGUCAUAGAGGGUGAGAAUCCCGUAUGGGAUGGGGUGUCCGCGCCCGUGUGAAGCUCCUUCGACGAGUCGAGUUGUUUGGGAAUGCAGCUCUAAAUGGGUGGUAAAUUUCAUCUAAAGCUAAAUAUUGGCCGGAGACCGAUAGCGCACAAGUAGAGUGAUCGAAAGAUGAAAAGCACUUUGAAAAGAGAGUUAAAAAGCACGUGAAAUUGUUGAAAGGGAAGCGCUUGCGACCAGACUCGCUCGCGGGGUUCAGCCGGCAUUCGUGCCGGUGUAUUUCCCCGCGGGCGGGCCAGCGUCGGUUUGGGCGGUCGGUCAAAGGCCCUCGGAAGGUAACGCCCCUAGGGGCGUCUUAUAGCCGAGGGUGCAAUGCGACCUGCCUAGACCGAGGAACGCGCUUCGGCUCGGACGCUGGCAUAAUGGUCGUAAGCGACCCGUCUUGAAACACGGACCAAGGA